GAUGAACGCUAGCGGCAGGCCUAACACAUUGCAAGUCCGAGGGGUAAGAGCUUUCUUCGGAGAGUACACGACCGGCGCACGGGUUGAGUAACGCGUAUGCAACCUACCUCUUACAGGGAGAUAGCCCAGAGAAAUUUGGAUUAAUAUCCCAUAGAUUUAUGAUAUCGCAUGAUAUUAUAUAUAAAGCUCCGGCGGUAAGAGAUGGGCAUGCGUGACAUUAGUUAGUUGGUGAGGUAACGGCUCACCAAGACGACGAUGUCUAGGGGGUCUGAAAGGAUGGUCCCCCACACUGGUACUGAGACACGGACCAGACUCCUACGGGAGGCAGCAGUGAGGAAUAUUGGUCAAUGGAGGCAACUCUGAACCAGCCAUGCCGCGUGAAGGAUGAAUGUCCUAUGGAUUGUAAACUUCUUUUCUUUGCCAAGAACAGUCAAUACGUGUAUUGAUUUGACUAGCUUAGGAAUAAGCAUCGGCUAACUCCGUGCCAGCAGCCGCGGUAAUACGGAGGAUGCAAGCGUUAUCCGGAUUCACUAGGUUUAAAGGGUGCGCAGGCGGAAUAAUAAGUCAGUGGUGAAAUCUUGCGGCUUAACCGUAAAAUAGCCAUUGAUACUGUUAUUCUUGAGUUCGGUUGAGGUAGGCGGAAUGAGUAAUGUAGCGGUGAAAUGCUUAGAUAUUACUCAGAACACCGAUUGCGAAGGCAGCUUACUAAGCCGUUACUGACGCUGAGUCACGAAAGCGUGGGGAGCGAACAGGAUUAGAUACCCUGGUAGUCCACGCCGUAAACGUUGAUUACUCGUUGUUGGCGAUACACAGUCAGCGACUGAGCGAAAGCAUUAAGUAAUCCACCUGGGGAGUACGUCAGCAAUGAUGAAACUCAAAGGAAUUGACGGGGGCCCGCACAAGCGGAGGAACAUGUGGUUUAAUUCGAUGAUACGCGAGGAACCUUACCUGGGCUUAAAUGUAGAGUGCAUUAUUUGGAAACAGAUAUUUCCUUCGGGACUCUUUACAAGGUGCUGCAUGGUUGUCGUCAGCUCGUGCCGUGAGGUGUCGGGUUAAGUCCCAUAACGAGCGCAACCCUCAUCGUUAGUUGCCAUCAGUUCGGCUGGGGACUCUAACGAAACUGCCGGUGCAAACCGUGAGGAAGGUGAGGAUGACGUCAAAUCAGCACGGCCCUUAUGUCCAGGGCUACACACGUGUUACAAUGGUCAGUACAGUGGGCAGCUACUUGGCGACAAGAUGCUAAUCUCCAAAACUGAUCCUAGUUCGGAUCGGAGUCUGCAACUCGACUCCGUGAAGCUGGAUUCGCUAGUAAUCGCACAUCAGCCAUGGUGCGGUGAAUACGUUCCCGGGCCU
Molecule: ribosomal RNA, 1353 nt
Filed under: uncultured bacterium
Lineage: Bacteria
Description: bacterial SSU rRNA
Rfam family: Bacterial small subunit ribosomal RNA
Source: RNAcentral